RNAcentral lists this microRNA precursor (79 nucleotides) under Pelodiscus sinensis (Chinese soft-shelled turtle). RNAcentral's name for it is "miRNA (ENSPSIG00000020176.1)". It matches the Rfam family "mir-9/mir-79 microRNA precursor family". Rfam says of the family: The mature ~21nt miRNAs are processed from hairpin precursor sequences represented here. miR-9 is processed from the 5' arm of its precursor, and miR-79 from the 3' arm. The bounds of the precursors are predicted based on conservation and base pairing and are not generally known. The record is from RNAcentral. Lineage: Eukaryota; Metazoa; Chordata; Testudines; Trionychidae.
UGGGUUGGUUUUUGUCUUUGGUUAUCUAGCUGUAUGAGUGUAUGUGAUAUCAUAAAGCUAGAGAACCGAAUGUAAAAAC